RNAcentral lists this ribosomal RNA (253 nucleotides) under uncultured bacterium. RNAcentral describes it as "partial 16S ribosomal RNA". It matches the Rfam family "Bacterial small subunit ribosomal RNA", at positions 524 to 776 of the family's 1533-position model. The record is from RNAcentral.
UACGGAGGGGGCUAGCGUUGUUCGGAAUUACUGGGCGUAAAGCGCGCGUAGGCGGGCUGUUAAGUCGGGGGUGAAAUCCCGGGGCUCAACCCCGGAACGGCCUCCGAUACUGGCAGCCUUGAGGUCGGGAGAGGUGAGUGGAAUGGCGAGUGUAGAGGUGAAAUUCGUAGAUAUUCGCCGGAACACCGGUGGCGAAGGCGGCGCACUGGCCCGAUACUGACGCUGAGGUGCGACAGCGUGGGGAGCAAACAGG